GUCUCAUUAUGCUUCGUCUCUAGUCGCCGGUGCCGCAGCCGCCUACCGCCGCAUCCCUCGCGACACCCACACCACGGGUGCCGAGAUCCCCUACCAGUGCCCUGACUACUCCUAGAGACGAAGUGCAUCGAGCUCCGCCUACUACCUCCGCUGGACAAGAAAGCUCGUGCAACGCUUCUUGUUCUUUCCAAGACCGCUGGCCGCCGCCGAAACUGCGUUGUGUCCAGCUUUCCCCUUCACCGGCAGCGAGCACACACCAGGUUCGCCUGCCCCUUGCUUCCCCUUCCUGUACGUUCACAACUUGUAUUCAGAUCUCCCAGUCCCUAGGUUAGGCUUCCCUUUUGUAUUUGGAUCUAAUCUGGCAACGAGGUAGCGGAGGUGCUAAGGGGCGCUGCGGCGCCGCAUGUGUUGGGCAGCGAGAGCUUCUUCGACGCGGGCACCGGCAUGCAGCACCACUUCGUUGACGUGCAGGGGGAGGCCGAGGCCAUGCUGUUCCUGGUGUCCGUGCGUUCUUUUGCCUUGUUCUGAAGGCAACCCUCGAAUCUUUUGCCUCGGCCUUUUGGCUAGCUGUUUCCCUGUCUAUUUGUGAAUGCUUUGCUUGUUUCCUGCGAGGCUUAUGAUCUGAUGAAGUCGACAGCAAUCUUAUUUACCUAUUCCAGCGAAUUAAGUAAUCUUUCCUAAAGAGAGUAAGCUGCAUCUUGAUUCUUGAAACUAUGCAGCCUCUGUUAUUCUUUAAUUUUGUUAGGGUGCAGGAAUAUUUUGCCAAUCUCACUAAGAUUGUUCAGACAUACGCCCUCUGUACUGAACACUAUGUAUGUCCUGCACUAAUUUAGUUUGGUACUGAACAUGGGCAAAUGCACGGUCCUUUUUUAUUGAAACGUGGGCAAAUGCACGGCGGAUCCAUAUGCAUGUCCCCUGGGUAUAGGACACCUAUAUUUUUUUUGAAUCGAGGAUAACCCCAUUUCCAUUAUCAAACGGAAAUACCAGUCAGAACAAGUGGGUCACGAGAACCCAGAUUACAGAAGCGGGGAAACAGAAAACAAGUUCAAGCUGGCAGGAUCUGGAGAAUGACAUUCAUUCUCAGAGUGCCUACAAAACGAAGUUCAGGACCUAGGAAACCCAGGAAAGUUCAGGACAAGACAGAAACAACAUCCGAGAUAACAGUUUUAGACUGAGCUACUCAAAAGACAAAGCAGAUUCAGGUUCCCUCCUCAGAAGUAUCAUCAGUUGUAUCCUGGGCGCUGGCAGCACCUUCCAACAGCAGGCGGGUUGGUGAGCGCUUCUGCUGAGCCAUCACUUUGUGGACACAAGAGACUAGGAUCUUCACACCUUCCAAGAUCUUACCCUGCAUAUCUGCCCCAUACAAACCUGCCCAGAAAGACAUGAGCGCACAAGCGAAUAGCAGGACAUCAGUAGGGUGUUUCAACAUUUUUUGGUCAAAACAGGCAUCAUUUCGACGUUUCUAGAUGGCCCAGCAAACAGCUGCUACACAAAAGGUGUAAACAGCUUGUCCACCGGGUAACCAAUGUUCAAUCCAAGAUUUGUAUUGUGUAAUAUUUCUAGGAACAUAGUUAGCUCCUAUGCAAAGAGCAAUCAAGCCCUAGGUAACUUUUGCAACUGGGCAGAGAAAGAACAAGUGGUCAAUACAUUCAUUAGAGAAGCAAAAGUAACAAGAUGGAUCACCAGUCUAGUUUCUUUUCAGCAAAUUAUCCUUAGUCAAUACAACUCCAUUUUCUAAUAGCCACAAGAAUACCUUUAUUCUGUGAGGUAUUCUAGCUUUCCAAAUAGAUGUAAAAAAAACAGAGUCAUCACCGGUUAACAAAUCAUGGACAAAUCGGAACUUGAUGCAUAUAUGGAAGAUGAACAUGUGAGAGAUGAUGAAAAUUUUGAGAUCUUGAGUUGGUGGAAGACAAAUAAAGACAAGUAUCCUGUCCUAUCAACCAUGGCACGAGACUUCCUUGCAAUUCCAUUGAGCAUUGUGUCUUCCGAGUCCGCAUUUAGUUUGAGUGGUCGGAUUCUUAGUGAUAAUCGGAGUUCAAUGACACCUGAAACCCUUGAAGCCCUUGUUUGUGUUAAGGAUUGGCUGUAUAAGCUCCCGGGCAAUGAAGACUGCUCUCAGAUUGUGGUUGACUAGCACAGAGGUGAAGACAAUGGAUGCUUUGUCGACAUCAUGAUGACUGGUUUGAGGGAGGCUACCAACAGUUUCCAACAUUUCCCUUGUGUUGAUCUCCUACUACUUGCAACACCUGCAUGUAAUAAUUUGGUACUGUUGUUGCUUGUAAUUGUACUUGAUUGUGAAUCAACACUAUUGUAGCUACACUGUGUACCUAGUACUGGCUUUGCUUCGUUCUGGGGUUGAGAUGGAUGAGCUGGUGGGGACGAACGAAGGUGGCAGGCAAUGGCGCUUAGUACCAUAUCCCAGGACACCAUGGGGGCAGCUUGCCACCACUUGAAAAAGCAUUUGGUGCAAAGGUCAACACUCAAUAGGAGGAUCACUACAGGAAAGCUUGGGCUUUUAUUUGUCAUGGAUGGUGCAUGCAUUUUGUCGCUUUUGAUGGAGGAUGAUGCCCUGUUUUGCCUCUCAUGUUCAAAAAAAUCAACUUCUGUUUGUCUCACGCAA
Molecule: long non-coding RNA, 2620 nt
Organism: Panicum virgatum (switchgrass)
Lineage: Eukaryota; Viridiplantae; Streptophyta; Magnoliopsida; Poales; Poaceae
Exons: 2
Source: RefSeq, a predicted model, not a curated record